RNAcentral lists this ribosomal RNA (468 nucleotides) under uncultured bacterium. RNAcentral describes it as "partial 16S ribosomal RNA". It matches the Rfam family "Bacterial small subunit ribosomal RNA", at positions 28 to 507 of the family's 1533-position model. The record is from RNAcentral.
GACGAACGCUGGCGGCGUGCUUAACACAUGCAAGUCGAACGGAAAGGCCCUGCUUUUGUGGGGUGCUCGAGUGGCGAACGGGUGAGUAACACGUGAGUAACCUGCCCUUGACUUUGGGAUAACUUCAGGAAACUGGGGCUAAUACCGGAUAGGAGCUCCUGCUGCAUGGUGGGGGUUGGAAAGUUUCGGCGGUUGGGGAUGGACUGGCGGCUUAUCAGCUUGUUGGUGGGGUAGUGGCUUACCAAGGCUUUGACGGGUAGCCGGCCUGAGAGGGUGACCGGGCACAUUGGGCCUGAGAUACGGCCCAGACUCCUACGGGAGGCAGCAGUGGGGAAUAUUGCACAAUGGGCGGAAGCCUGAUGCAGCAACGCCGCGUGCGGGAUGACGGCCUUCGGGUUGUAAACCGCUUUCGCCUGUGACGAAGCGUGAGUGACGGUAAUGGGUAAAGAAGCACCGGCUAACUACGUG